Molecule: ribosomal RNA, 489 nt
Filed under: uncultured organism
Description: bacterial SSU rRNA
Rfam family: Bacterial small subunit ribosomal RNA
Source: RNAcentral
GAUGAACGCUAGCGACAGGCCUAACACAUGCAAGUCGAGGGGCAACAUGGUAUCAGCUUGCUGAUACCGAUGGCGACCGGCGCACGGGUGAGUAACGCGUAUGUAAUCUACCUGUAACAGAGGGAUAACCCGGAGAAAUUCGGACUAAUACCUCAUAGCACAUAUUAUUCGCAUGAAUUUUAUGUUAAAGAGACUCGGUUACAGAUGAACAUGCGUUCCAUUAGCUGGUUGGCGGGGUCACGGCCCACCAAGGCAACGAUGGAUAGGGGUUCUGAGAGGAAGGUCCCCCACACUGGUACUGAGACACGGACCAGACUCCUACGGGAGGCAGCAGUGAGGAAUAUUGGUCAAUGGGCGGAAGCCUGAACCAGCCAAGUCGCGUGGAGGAAGACGGCCCUACGGGUUGUAAACUCCUUUUACCUGGGAAUAACGGGCGCUACGCGUAGCGCUGUGCAAGUACCGGGAGAAUAAGCAUCGGCUAAUUCCGUG